Non-coding RNA from Chelonobacter oris, 366 nucleotides. NCBI's taxonomy places the organism in Bacteria, Pseudomonadati, Pseudomonadota, Gammaproteobacteria, Pasteurellales, Pasteurellaceae. The record is from Rfam.
GGGGCUGAUUCUGGAUUCGACGGGAUUAGCGAAGCCCAAGGUGCAUGUCGAGGUGCGGUAGGCCUCGUAAACAAACCGCAAAACAAUAGUCGCAAACGACGAAAACUACGCUUUAGCAGCUUAAUAACCUGCUCUUAGCCUUCUCUCCCCAGCUUCUGCUCGUAAGACGGGGAUCAAGAGGAGUCAAACCCAAACGAGAUCGCGUGGACGCCUCCGCUUGCGGAUCGAAACGUUAAAUUGAAUCAAGCUAGCUUAUCUGUCGCGUGUCUGUCCGCAGUGGGUAAGUGAAAUUAAAGACUGACUAAACAUGUAGUGCUGAAGGUAGAGUAAUUUCGGACGCGGGUUCAACUCCCGCCAGCUCCACCA